This 692-nucleotide ribosomal RNA is filed under the name uncultured Actinomycetes bacterium. RNAcentral's name for it is "bacterial SSU rRNA". It matches the Rfam family "Bacterial small subunit ribosomal RNA", at positions 8 to 687 of the family's 1533-position model. The record is from RNAcentral. Lineage: Bacteria; Bacillati; Actinomycetota; Actinomycetes.
AGAGUUUGAUCCUGGCUCAGGACGAACGCUGGCGGCGUGCUUAACACAUGCAAGUGGAGCGACGAACCAGGGCUUGCCCUGGGGCAGAGCCGCGAACGGGUGAGUAACACGUGGGUAACCUACCCCGAUGAUUGGGACAACCCGAGGAAACUCGGGCUAAUACCAAAUGUGCCCGCAGUCUUUGAGGACUGCGUGUAAAGAUAGCUUCGGCCUUCGCAUCGGGACGGGCCCGCGGCCCAUUAGCUUGUUGGUGGGGUAACGGCCUACCAAGGCGACGAUGGGUAGCCGGUCUGAGAGGACGAUCAGCCACACUGGGACUGAGACACGGCCCAGACUCCUACGGGAGGCAGCAGUGGGGAAUCUUGCGCAAUGCGCGAAAGCGUGACGCAGCAACGCCGCGUGGAGGAAGACGGCCCUCGGGUUGUAAACUCCUUUCAGUUGGGACGAAGCUCAACUGGUUAAUAGCCAGAUGGAGUGACGGUACCUUCAGAAGAAGCCCCGGCUAACUACGUGCCAGCAGCCGCGGUAAUACGUAGGGGGCUAGCGUUGUCCGGAAUCAUUGGGCGUAAAGAGCGUGUAGGCGGUCCGGUAAGUCCGCUGUGAAAGUCGGGGGCUCAACCUCGAAUGCCGGUGGAAACUGUCGGGCUAGAGUGCGGAAGAGGCGAGUGGAAUUCCUGGUGUAGCGGUGAAAU